This 764-nucleotide ribosomal RNA is filed under the name uncultured Anaerolineae bacterium. Its description in RNAcentral is "bacterial SSU rRNA". It matches the Rfam family "Bacterial small subunit ribosomal RNA", at positions 69 to 850 of the family's 1533-position model. The record is from RNAcentral. Lineage: Bacteria; Bacillati; Chloroflexota; Anaerolineae.
AGGUAUGUAGCAAUACGUAUCUUAGUGGCGAACGGGUGAGUAACACGUUGGUGACCUACCCCAGAGAGGGGGAUAACAGCUCGAAAGGGCUGCUAAUACCCCAUGCCGUCAUGGCGCUUAGAAAGCCAUGACGAAAGGUGCAAAUCGCUCUGGGAGGGGCCUGCGUCCCAUCAGCUAGUUGGUAGGGUAAUGGCCUACCAAGGCGACGACGGGUAGGGGACCUGAGAGGGCGACCCCCCACACUGGCACUGAAACACGGGCCAGACACCUACGGGUGGCAGCAGUAGGGAAUAUUGCACAAUGGGCGAAAGCCUGAUGCAGCAACGCCGCGUGCGCGAUGAAGGCCUUCGGGUCGUAAAGCACUUUUCUGGGAGAUGAGAAAGGACAGUAUCCCAGGAAUAAGUCUCGGCUAACUACGUGCCAGCAGCCGCGGUAAAACGUAGGAGGCGAGCGUUAUCCGGAUUCACUGGGCGUAAAGCGCGUGCAGGUGGCUUGGUAAGUUAGGCGUGAAAUCUCCCGGCUCAACUGGGAGAGGUCGUCUAAUACUACCGGGCUUGAGAGCAGAAGAGGAAGAUGGAAUUCCCGGUGUAGUGGUGAAAUGCGUAGAUAUCGGGAGGAACACCAGUGGCGAAGGCGAUCUUCUGGUCUGUUUCUGACACUCAGACGCGACAGCUAGGGUAGUAAACGGGAUUAGAGACCCCGGUAAUCCUAGCCGUAAACGAUGUAAACUUGGCGUUGGUGGGUUAAACUCCAUCAGUGCCGCA